UAGUACUUUUAUCCUGCCUGGGAUGUGAGUUAAAUGUUCAAGGUAUCGGAUGGGCAUGCGUCCUAUUAGUUAGUUGGCGGGGUAACAGCCCACCAAGACGAUGAUAGGUAGGGGUUCUGAGAGGAAGGUCCCCCACAUUGGAACUGAGACACGGGCCAAACUCCUACGGGAGGCAGCAGUGAGGAAUAUUGGUCAAUGGACGAGAGUCUGAACCAGCCAAGUCGCGUGAGGGAAGACUGCCCUAUGGGUUGUAAACCUCUUUUAUAAGGGAAGAAUAAGUUCUACGUGUAGAAUGAUGCCUGUACCUUAUGAAUAAGCAUCGGCUAACUCCGUGCCAGCAGCCGCGGUAAUACGGAGGAUGCGAGCGUUAUCCGGAUUUAUUGGGUUUAAAGGGUGCGUAGGCGGUUUAUUAAGUUAGUGGUUAAAUAUUUGAGCUAAACUCAAUUGUGCCAUUAAUACUGGUAAACUGGAGUACAGACGAGGUAGGCGGAAUAAGUUAAGUAGCGGUGAAAUGCAUAGAUAUAACUUAGAACUCCGAUAGCGAAGGCAGCUUACCAGACUGUAACUGACGCUGAUGCACGAGAGCGUGGGUAGCGAACAGGAUUAGAUACCCUGGUAGUCCACGCCGUAAACGAUGCUCACUGGUUCUGUGCGAUAUAUUGUACGGGAUUAAGCGAAAGUAUUAAGUGAGCCACCUGGGGAGUACGUCGGCAACGAUGAAACUCAAAGGAAUUGACGGGGGCCCGCACAAGCGGAGGAACAUGUGGUUUAAUUCGAUGAUACGCGAGGAACCUUACCUGGGUUUAAAUGGGAAAUGCCGUAUUUGGAAACAGAUAUUCUCUUCGGAGCGUUUUUCAAGGUGCUGCAUGGUUGUCGUCAGCUCGUGCCGUGAGGUGUCGGGUUAAGUCCCAUAACGAGCGCAACCCUUACCGUUAGUUGCUAGCAUGUAAUGAUGAGCACUCUAACGGGACUGCCACCGUAAGGUGAGAGGAAGGCGGGGAUGACGUCAAAUCAGCACGGCCCUUACACCCAGGGCUACACACGUGUUACAAUGGCCGGUACAGAGGGCCGCUACCAGGUGACUGGAUGCCAAUCUCAAAAGCCGGUCGUAGUUCGGAUUGGAGUCUGUAACCCGACUCCAUGAAGUUGGAUUCGCUAGUAAUCGCGCAUCAGCCAU
Molecule: ribosomal RNA, 1177 nt
Filed under: human gut metagenome
Description: bacterial SSU rRNA
Rfam family: Bacterial small subunit ribosomal RNA
Source: RNAcentral